GCACAACAACUUCCGCGGCAACUCCGCCGCCGGCGGCCGGUCCCGGUCCCGGCGUUCCGCUGCACUCCCACAGUCCCACCUCUGCGUCCGCGGGGACGGGGUAGCCCUACUGAGCUUCGCAGCCUAACAAGUUUCUUGCCACCAGGUAGGCGCUUCCUACCUGCGGUUCCCUCGUUUCAGGAUGCUGGAUUUUGCAUCCUGCUAGCACUGGCUCUGGCUCUGGCUUUGAGCGAGCAAUAAGGUAACUAGCCAACCCACGGGACCCCUUACUCUGUUUUAUUUUGCCAACAUUCGUCACUCUAUUCUUCAAUCUGCCUGAUUCUGAGUAGACAUUAUUGCUUUCGUGGGAUCCUUUCCGCCUGAGGUGCUCGCAGGCAAAGGUUUAUUUUUUUUCUCUCAGGAGACAAAAACGUUCCUCUGAAUGUUGCUGUGGCUUUGGAGAAAAUAGCUAUUAUAGGACUCUAAUCGUGCGGCUUCUUCGAAAUAGGAUUCUUAACGUUUGUUUAUCUGAAAUAGGACUCUAAACGUUGAUAAUAAGCUGUAAUGACAUUUUGUGUCUUUUUCAUUUCUUUUUUUAUCUAAAUACAUGUAUUUGUUCCUAAAAUGACCCUUUUAUCCUUCAGUCAUUAAACUGUUAUGGUAGUCUCCAUUACAGAAAAAAAAACAUCAUAGCUUCCUGGCCUGUGUGUUGCCUUGUCCAGCUUAUUUUUUUUUAAUAAACUGAUGCCUUGCUGCCAUGCCGCCAUGGUCGUGGCUGCCGUGCUGGCUGGCCAUGGUCAUGGCAAAUAUUGGAUGUCGGCCAGGUAUCUCGCGCUGCUAGUGCUUCGCGCUGCCUGCAGCCUGAUGUCCAGGCAGAGAUCGCCAGCCACUGUUGGGGGCUCGGCUGAUUUUGGGGAUUGUAACGGAGGGUGAGAGUACCAAGACCGAAAGCAGGUAAGACGGGUGUUGUGCCGUGCCAACUAGAUCACACAUCUGCUGAUCUGCCUAAUCCAAUCGGUCUUGGAGUGUCACCUGAAAUGUUUCACGCUUAAAAAUCGAGUAAGAAUCACUUUAGCAAAAUUGUAUGGAUAACAUGCUAGAUCUUGGCGAAAAACAAUUCGGCUCUAAUUAACAAGCUUAAAUUACAAAUUCAACUGAGCUAAAAUUGAGCCGAACUUGAUACUCGCACUGCUCGAGGGCUAGAGAUCCUUUCACAUCUGUAAAUGACAAGUGACCCACUGUACAUAAGCUUGUUUGUUUGUUCAUGCAUCUCUAUUGCUCCGGCUUCUUGUCUCUGGCCUUCUGCAUGUCCACCAUCUUUAAUUUCUCCUUGAGGCAAGAUGUCAUCUGAAUCACCACCAUCUUUAAUUUCUCCUUGUGGCAAGAUAUUAUCUGAAUCACCAUUUUCAUGUUCUACUUGUUUGCUUUUGCAGAAAUAAAUUGUUAAGGCGACCACAAGAGAGGUGGUUGAGGCAACUCCAGUGGCAAUAGUCGGUCCUGCGAAACUGUCAAAGGUGAGUGUACCUGAACCAGAGAUGGUGCCCACAUUUUGGCAGUUGUUUUGAUCUCCUAUCCAUUUCUUCUCAAUCCGAGUUAUAGUGUCUCCCCCUGUUAUGUUGAGGAUUGCUUGUGAGAUGUCACCUAUUAUUGGCGAUCCCUUCUGAAGUGCCUGUGGAAGAAGGUGCCCGUGUAAAAAACAUGACCCAACUAAGACUAUUAUGCAUCAUUGUGGAAACUAGAAUAAAGAUGAAUCUGAACUUGGUUAUGCCAAAGUAAUUUUAAUAAACAUAGCUAAACUUACAUAUCCAAAACCUGCAUUCUUAUAUAUUGGUCCAACCAUGGUGUAUCCCUUGCAAUGCUCCGCAAGGAAUAAUUUGAGGUAUGGGAUUUCAUCCACAAGGGCAGCAACACCACCAUUCUUGCAUCCUCUGGAAAGCUCAUCAUGAAACUCUUCAGGGCUUUCAUAGGGCUUGAUCUUUGAUACCUCAAAGCCUAUUUCUUCCAAAAGAUCCUUGAUGUAGGAACCAUGAGGAUACCCAACACAUUCUCCAGCUUUGAGAAGUUCUUCGACAUUUGUUACAGUUGGGUAGAGCUGUUGAACAGUUAGCAUGGAUGUCAAGCUUGCAGUGUAGCUUGACUUGAGUACCAGAAGGAAAAACAGCCAUAUGACCAACACGAUCCGAGAGAUAAGGCGUUUCACCUUCUCUUCUGCAGAGAGUUAACAUACUUUUCAGAUAGUAUAAAUCAAAGUUAAAAAGUACAUAGUUCAUAAUGUCCAGAUUUGCUAAUCUUUACAUGCAUACGGUGAUAUAAUGCCAAUAUAUUCCUUCUUGCAUCUGUAAAAUUUUGUAUUGGCUUGAUAGUUCUCAGCACAACUGCACAAUAUUUGUCCCUGUUUGAUCACAUCUGUGCUGUAAGACAUCAGACAUGUCUUAUGGACUCUGUGCAUUUGGUGGAAACCAUAUAACAUUACACAUUAUUUUUCUGAGUUGUGAAAGCUUGUGCAUGGCAUUAACUAGGUAUGAAAAAGGUGUAUCAACUUGAUCAUUAUGCUAUAUCUAUCCAAAAAUUUACUAGAAAAAGAGUUACACUAAGGCACUCACUCUCUUCAAACAGGGAAAAAUAUAUCAUCGUAGCUAGCUGUCGGGGAACUGGACCAUGAAUGUUCUUGUUGUUGCCUAGAAGCUCUAAAAACCAUAUCACAAUGCCUGUGUAGAUAAAGAGUAUUAUGGUCCCAAUCCACAUGCCAGGUGUGAGUGGCUUCAGGAAAAUCCAUGUAUUCUUGCUUAUGCUUUCCCUGACAGGAACAACCAUUGCUAUCCCUGAUUGUGUAUGGCUGAGUGAAGUCGACAUACAAACUUCUGUUGUACCUAAUUGUUAUGUCUCCAACUGCUAUAUCAUAUUUCUGUCAGGGUGCAAAAAAAAGUUUAACUAAGAGCUGUAAAGAGGAACAAAUUAAACAAGAAAAGUUAUGACCUCUAUGUAAUCAGAUUGGUAGGACUAUUUUGUGAAAACUAAAUUCUGAUGUUUAAUGUGCAAGGUUGAGCAUUUAUGGAUUAAUAGUAAAACAAAAUAAUUUACCUCAGCAAUAUAGAAACAUAUUUAUGACAGUCAUGAUUAAUACAUGACAAAAUACGGAAAAAUGGAAUUGUGUGUUAUGCCAGUACAUGGCAUCCGUUGUUUUUUUGAAGGUCGGCAUCCGUUGUUUUCAUUUCAUCUACAAUAAGAAUGACAAAGGGCUUAUAGCUUGUCUUCUAUUAUGGUAUAACUGUCAGAAAUUUAUAUUUAUUUGAAAUAACAGCAUGGUAUUGGAAAUAUCAGAUGUUGAAAAGCAUAAUGUGUGCAGUUAUAGUUUCAACUUGAAAAAAAAAACCCAAUAUAUUUCUUAUCUUAAAUGUAAAUUUAUUUGAAAUAACAGCAUGAUAUUGGAAAUACUAGAUCUUGAAAAGCAUAAUGUGUGCAAUUAUAGUUUCAACUUGAAAAUAAAACCAAUAUAUUUCUUACCUUAAGAUAAACUUGAUUGACAAAAUCAUCGUAGCUUGAACUUGAAUUCUUCGUGAUGUUAAAUACUACAUAUUCAUAAGGGAGUGCAUAAGGUAGUCUCUUUACUGCCUCCUCAAAAACAUCAAUUGCAAUGCCACUUGCUUUAAUCACACCUGUGAUGGAAUUUUCAACAACAUCUAUGUAUUUUUGAUAUUUAUUUCCUGUGACUACACCAACUUGAAGCUUCUUCCCAUUUGUUGGAAUCUCCCAGCCCCUUGGGAUCUUAGUAGAUUCGCCUGGCCAAAUCACAAUUUUCAGAUCAUGUGUGGUGUUCCGGUAUUUUAUGUUUGACCUCUGGUCUAAUUGCUGUGACAGUCCAUUUUGUGCAGUCCAAAACCCAAUCACUCUCUGUGCUUUUCCAACUACAUUUAUUAUUUGAAACUUGGAAACUUGCAGCUGCCCAUCUGAAAGGUCAAAGUCACCACUUAAACCUUCAAAUUUAUUUUGCAAGAUUGCCUUUAGGAUUGCUGGACCAUUUCUUGAUUUUUUCAAGGCUCCCAAACUUGUAGAGUUUUUCAGUGCAGGUGGUCUCAGAAAUUUUGCUUGUCUCAGAAUUUUUGCUUUAGUAACCUUGGCCUUUUCUGCUGCUUGAGCUAACCCCCAGAUCGUAUCAUAGCUCCAUAGUCCAAAGAUGUUUAAUUUCAAUGUUGGGUCAUUUGGAUGAUCAUUUCGUGACCUCAUAUACCAUCUCAUGGUGAAGCUAUCAAGUUCUUUUGAUUUAGGAACAUAGGACUCGACCCCCAAGGCACCAUUCAUUGCUUCCACGACUGAAGGAUUUAGUAAAUCAAUGAGAUUUGCUAGUCGAUCUGUUAUAAUCCAUACAAACCCCUCGCUCAUCAUCCCAAUUUCCUUUGCUUUUGUGAAGAAUAGGGAGCCCAAAGAUGGGGACAUGUGCACCACAAAGACCCUUGUUUGCAUUGUC
RNAcentral lists this long non-coding RNA (4444 nucleotides) under Sorghum bicolor (sorghum). RNAcentral describes it as "long non-coding RNA (SBIC_LNC003593)". Lineage: Eukaryota; Viridiplantae; Streptophyta; Magnoliopsida; Poales; Poaceae. The record is from RNAcentral.